This 989-nucleotide long non-coding RNA is filed under the name Pandoravirus celtis. RNAcentral's name for it is "hypothetical ncRNA". The record is from RNAcentral.
UAUGGCCUUGCGCAAGAGGGCCGAAUCGAGUGGCGUGCCCUUGUUUGUGUGCGCCCACUGGACAAUAUCCAGUCGGCCUCGACGGACAAACUUGCCGACGGUCUUGGCACACAAGUUGAUGAGGCCUUGGUCGGUCGCCCAAACAAUCGUCGCCAAAGGCAUCUGGUGGGAGCGAUGCUUGCUCAUGAUGCACGCGCGAACCUGGCCGGCGUCUGCGCCGUGUUCCAUCAGCCACUCGACAAGAUCCGCGUGACCGUUGCACAGGGCCUUGGUGAUUGUGUAACAGUCGUCGGGCACAUCGGCGCCGCAAUCAAAGAGACGGCGUAGCCGAUCUAUGUCCCCUUUGGAUGCAAAUGCACGCCAAAUCAUGCGUUCAUUCGAGCCGCAGUCGUUGAUGACCUCGUCAACAAUGUCGGCGUCGCCUUGGCCGAUCGCGUCGUACGCAGAGGUGGCUGUCCAGUGCCAGCCGCGAGUUCGCAAGGCACGGCGGGCGUUGGGGUCGCAUGCGCGCAUGGCCGCCAUCAGUGGGCACGGCCUGGGCGCCGACUCGCCGGCUGGCGGUGCUGUGAGCAGAUUGUCCAAAAGCCACAGGCCCGCCGCCGAAUGGCCUCGUGCAAUGGCCUCGCAGGCCAUGGGCAAAAUCCAGUGCGUGUCGCCACAGAGGCCCUCGGCGAUAUUGGCGCACCUCCAGCGGUGGCGUCGUCCGGCCCACAGUUGCCGCCUCCACUCGCGACACACCAAAGAGGCCAUGAUCCUGGCCUCGCGGUCGGUGAAUUCUACGAGGAUGUGCUGGACCAGUUCAUGUGGGAGGUUCUGGAUGCUGCUCUCGGCGACCGUGCCUGCGUCAGUCAUCUUGCAGUCGCCUUGUGGUGCAGGCCUUGCUAGAUAUUUUGGGCGAAAAGAAAAGACACAAAUGAUCUUUCUUUUCGCGCCGCCUCCAAUCUUUUUUAAUACUUUUGGCAGUUUUAAUGGGCGCCAAUAGGCCACCC